RNAcentral lists this ribosomal RNA (33 nucleotides) under Amblyseius swirskii. RNAcentral's name for it is "partial 28S ribosomal RNA". The record is from RNAcentral. Lineage: Eukaryota; Metazoa; Arthropoda; Arachnida; Mesostigmata; Phytoseiidae.
CUGAAAUCAAGUGUGACGACCCGCUGAACUUAA